GUGACUGGGUCUACAUAAAGGUCAUCAAACGAAAGAACUGGGCGAGUCCACGGUGGGAAGGACUGUUCCUAGUGCUGAUGACCACACCAACAGCUGUAAAGAUUGCUGAAAGACCCAGCUGGAUACAUCUUAGUCACUGUAAGCGGCAGAGAGUGUUGGACCCCUAAUUCGGAGUAGAGAGGAAGGAGGGCUUCGGCCCCCAGGCUACACAGGCAUUCUACUUUAUAGUAUUAGUUUGUCUCAAACCCGGCGAAGAACUGCUAAGAUUCUCACUCUUUUAGUUUGGGGGUUCUGACAUCUCUGCACGCCGAGCAGUAAUGGGGACUCCAUAUGCCAGAUGGAUCUUCUACUGUGCUGUGACUGCUGUAUGUUUGAUGUUUGGAGAAGGAAGCGAGCCUGAGUUCCACCCACACGACUACAGCACCAACCUGUGGUGGAAACUGAUGAAUAGAACUGCUUAUGAAGGACAUGCUGUGAAUUGCUAUGUGUGUGCGCAGCUGCCGGUUUCCAUACACAACUCAGGUCUCCGACCAGGGACGUUGCCCUGGAACUUGUGUAAUAGAGUUUACACCUACUGCGAACCAACACAGGAUUACAUCACCUGCAUAGCCUGCAGGGGUCAAAGGACGACUCCACAUUGCAAAGUCUGGAAGGAAAACCCAGACUGUGACAACCUGCUUCAGGAGAGGAGUUUCAACAUCAUGCAUAAGAUAAAUAGGAGACAGGAGACAACACUGUGCAGUGCCAUAGUGCCAGGAGAUUAUGGCUCACGGAUGUUGGCAGAUUGGUACUUCAUAUGCGGGAAUGAAGCAUACAUGUUCUUGCCGACAAAUUGGGGAGGACUGUGUGCUGUGGUUCCUUUGAUCAACCCGAUUGCGUUCAUCAGGAAAGCACAGAAUGAUUUACACACCCGCUCCAAACGAACAGUUAUGUCAGAGGUCAAAAGAUGGGGAGGCCUCACAACACAUACUGGAGUUCCAUGGGAAUUCAGGAUUUGGAACGGCGGAGAAAAAUGUUUAAAACAAUUAACACAACUGUUAUCAACUAUCAGUUGGCAAAGGCAUCUUAUGAGACAACUGAAGAUGACUUGUUUCAAGUUUCUGACGAUUUUCUGAACAAUGAUGAAGUUCUGUAAUCAAUAAACAGAUAAAUUCAUUUGCUGAAUGACUCCUACACUGAAAAUGUUAAACAAGUGGUGUUAAGGAUGAGAAAACUGCUUUUGAUUUUUUGCUGUUUCUUUUAUUUUUUUCAUUUAUUGCAUUAUAUUCCAUUUAUUCAUUGUGUAUUUUCUGUGUUUAGAUUAGGAAAAAAAAAAUCUUGCAUUUAUUGGUUCUUUUCUUUUCUUUUCUUUUCUAUGCUUAGCUUUUGCAUAAAGUUUACACACAUAAUGAAAUGA
Long non-coding RNA from Xiphophorus hellerii (green swordtail), 1396 nucleotides. RefSeq lists it as uncharacterized. NCBI's taxonomy places the organism in Eukaryota, Metazoa, Chordata, Actinopteri, Cyprinodontiformes, Poeciliidae. The transcript is spliced from 2 exons. The record is from RefSeq and is a predicted model, not a curated record.